UCCCCGCUCUCCUCCCCCUUUCUCUCCCCCUCCCCCCUCUAUCUCUCCCUCUCCUCUCUUUAUCUCUCCCUCUAUCACUCUUUCUCACUCCUUGGCCCAUCUUUCCCUCGCUGCCCCAGGACACAGACUUCGUUUCAGAGAGUUGGAAUGUUUUCAUCACAGUCACUGAGGAGUGAAUAACACAAAAUCUCAAAGCACUUUCAUGGUUUCCUCCACCUAGAAUAAGGAAGAGAUGAACUAGAUACACAUGCCUUGAACAAUUAAUAGACCAUGGCAACAAGAAGAUCCCAAAGUCAAGCAGACAGACAGAAAUGAGAGCAGAGACACCAGGCUUCCAUAUGCAUUCAGCUGUCUUGUGAACCCAGAGAUGUUCCCCUUCAAUGGUAAACCUAUUAUCUCUGAUAAAAAUGCACUGUCAGAAGCAUGACUACUCAGCCUUCUGUAAUACUUCCGUACAACAAAACAACAAAAGUCAAGACUUCACAUUAAAUCCUCCAGUGCGGUGUUUUUGAAUGUGUGCUUUCACAGCUCCUCUUUUUCUCUACUGAGUAAUUACUUCAUAGAAAUAAACAUUUUUAAAGAUCUA
Peromyscus californicus insignis is the source of this 586-nucleotide long non-coding RNA. RefSeq lists it as uncharacterized. The transcript has 4 exons. The record is from RefSeq and is a predicted model, not a curated record. NCBI's taxonomy places the organism in Eukaryota, Metazoa, Chordata, Mammalia, Rodentia, Cricetidae.